This 253-nucleotide ribosomal RNA is filed under the name uncultured bacterium. Its description in RNAcentral is "partial 16S ribosomal RNA". It matches the Rfam family "Bacterial small subunit ribosomal RNA", at positions 524 to 776 of the family's 1533-position model. The record is from RNAcentral.
CACGUAGGGGACGAGCGUUGUCCGGAUUCAUUGGGCGUAAAGCGCGUGUAGGCGGGAUGGCAAGUCGGGUGUGAAAGCCCUCAGCUCAACUGAGGAAGUGCGCCCGAAACUACUGUUCUUGAGUGUCGGAGAGGGUGGCGGAAUUCCCGGUGUAGAGGUGAAAUUCGUAGAUAUCGGGAGGAACACCAGAGGCGAAGGCGGCCACCUGGACGAACACUGACGCUGAGACGCGAAAGCGUGGGGAGCAAACAGG